Long non-coding RNA from Daucus carota subsp. sativus, 523 nucleotides. RefSeq lists it as uncharacterized. Lineage: Eukaryota; Viridiplantae; Streptophyta; Magnoliopsida; Apiales; Apiaceae. The record is from RefSeq and is a predicted model, not a curated record. The transcript is spliced from 2 exons.
AAGGACCUGUAUGAUUUCAAAUCAACAAGUAAUAAAGUGUGAGAGUGAAGAGAUUUCUGUUGUGCCACACAUACAUACAUAAGCAGGAGGAUGAAGAGAUCAGGAGUGUUGGUAUUUGCAGCAGCAUCAGCAGCCGCGUCUGCUUCAUGCGACUCCGGUUCUUCCCAGAUUAGCUCUUCUUCUCCGCAGAAAGGAGAUGUUUGUGAGGGGCAGAAGACAGCAGAGGAGAAGAAAUGCUGCGAUCAAUUUAGUCCCAGGUUCGAUGGUUUAAGGUUUAUUGAAACGCUCGUCACUGCUCACCGUUGAAAAUGUUUGAUUUAUCCGCACUGGUAGACUAGUGGUAGCUAGUCAUUGUCGAGGAGGAUCACUGGAUCGCACUUUAUUUAUACUCCUUUGAUUCACCCAAACAAUUUAGCAUAAUGUUUCUCUGUUUUUCUUCAGUUCAGUAAAUAUUUCGGCUCUUGUAACUUUCCUAUUCUAAAACGAACUUUAUGACAGUAUGCCUACUAGUAUUGUUUUACUA